This 513-nucleotide ribosomal RNA is filed under the name uncultured bacterium. RNAcentral's name for it is "bacterial SSU rRNA". It matches the Rfam family "Bacterial small subunit ribosomal RNA", at positions 9 to 500 of the family's 1533-position model. The record is from RNAcentral.
GAGUUUGAUCCUGGUUCAGAACGAACGCUGGCGGCGUGCCUAACAUAUGCAAGUCCAACGUGAAAGGGGAGCAAUCCCCCGGUAGGGUGGCAAACGGGUGAGUAAUACAUGGGUGAUCUACCUUAGGGAUGGGGAUAUCCUUCCGAAAGGAGGGGCAAUACCGUAUAUUGUCCGGGACCGUGAAGGGUUUCGGGGAAAGGGAGGCCUCUGACACAAGCUUUCGCCUUAAGAUGAGCCCAUGGCCCAUCAGCUAGUUGGUAGGGUAAAGGCCUACCAAGGCUACGACGGGUCGCUGGUCUGAGAGGACGACCAGCCACACUGGCACUGAGAUACGGGCCAGACUCCUACGGGAGGCAGCAGUGAGGAAUAUUGCGCAAUGGGGGAAACCCUGACGCAGCAACGCCGCGUGUGGGAAGAAGGCCUUCGGGUCGUAAACCACUUUUACUCGGGACGAAAAAGGGAUAUCAAAUAAAUAUCCCCGAUGACGGUACCGUGAGAAUAAGCCACGGCUAA